GAUGAACGCUGGCGGCGUGCCUAAUACAUGCAAGUCGAGCGAACAGACGAGGAGCUUGCUCCUCUGACGUUAGCGGCGGACGGGUGAGUAACACGUGGAUAACCUACCUAUAAGACUGGGAUAACUUCGGGAAACCGGAGCUAAUACCCGAUAAUAUAUUGAACCGCAUGGUUCAAUAGUGAAAGACGGUUUUGCUGUCACUUAUAGAUGGAUCCGCUCCGCAUUAGCUAGUUGGUAAGGUAACGGCUUACCACGGCAACGAUGCGUAGCCGACCUGAGAGGGUGAUCGGCCACACUGGAACUGAGACACGGCCCAGACUCCUACGGGAGGCAGCAGUAGGGAAUCUUCCGGAAUGGGCGAAAGCCUGACGGAGCAACGCCGCGUGAGUGAUGAAGGUCUUCGGAUCGUAAAACUCUGUUAUUAGGGAAGAACAAAUGUGUAAGUAACUAUGCACGUCUUGACGGUACCUAAUCAGAAAGCCACGGCUAACUACGUG
This 497-nucleotide ribosomal RNA is filed under the name uncultured bacterium. RNAcentral's name for it is "partial 16S ribosomal RNA". It matches the Rfam family "Bacterial small subunit ribosomal RNA", at positions 28 to 507 of the family's 1533-position model. The record is from RNAcentral.